This 25-nucleotide non-coding RNA is filed under the name Cricetulus griseus (Chinese hamster). Lineage: Eukaryota; Metazoa; Chordata; Mammalia; Rodentia; Cricetidae. The record is from RNAcentral.
AGGGUUGUAAAACCGGUCUGGCAAC